CUACGGGAGGCUGCAGUGAGGAAUAUUGCGCAAUGGGGGAAACCCUGACGCAGCGACGCCGCGUGGAUGAUGAAGGCUUUCGGGUCGUAAAAUCCUGUCAGAAGGGAAGAAAUGCUAUAUGCCUAAUAUGUGUAUAGUUUGACGGUACCUUCAAAGGAAGCACCGGCUAACUCCGUGCCAGCAGCCGCGGUAAUACGGAGGGUGCAUGCGUUGUUCGGAAUUACUGGGCGUAAAGCGCGCGUAGGCGGCCUUUUAAGGCAGAUGUGAAAGUCCACGGCUCAACCGUGGAAGUGCAUUUGAUACUGGGAGGCUUGAGUACUGGAGGGGAUGGUGGAAUUCCCGGUGUAGAGGUGAAAUUCGUAGAUAUCGGGAGGAAUACCGGUGGCGAAGGCGACCAUCUGGCCAGAUACUGACGCUGAGGUGCGAAAGCGUGGGGAGCAAACAGGAUUAGAUACCCUUGUAGUC
RNAcentral lists this ribosomal RNA (465 nucleotides) under uncultured bacterium. Its description in RNAcentral is "partial 16S ribosomal RNA". It matches the Rfam family "Bacterial small subunit ribosomal RNA", at positions 339 to 795 of the family's 1533-position model. The record is from RNAcentral.